RNAcentral lists this ribosomal RNA (253 nucleotides) under uncultured bacterium. Its description in RNAcentral is "partial 16S ribosomal RNA". It matches the Rfam family "Bacterial small subunit ribosomal RNA", at positions 524 to 776 of the family's 1533-position model. The record is from RNAcentral. RNAcentral also lists the same sequence under 1 other name.
UACGAAGGGGGCUAGCGUUGCUCGGAAUGACUGGGCGUAAAGGGCGUGUAGGCGGUUUGUACAGUCAGAUGUGAAAUCCCCGGGCUUAACCUGGGAGCUGCAUUUGAUACGUGCAGACUAGAGUGUGAGAGAGGGUUGUGGAAUUCCCAGUGUAGAGGUGAAAUUCGUAGAUAUUGGGAAGAACACCGGUGGCGAAGGCGGCAACCUGGCUCAUUACUGACGCUGAGGCGCGAAAGCGUGGGGAGCAAACAGG